GGCCACUAUUACUGGGCUUAAAGCGUUCGUAGCUGGUCUGUUAAGUCUCUGGGGAAAUCUACUGGCUUAACCAAUAGGCGUCUCAGGGAUACUGGCAGACUAGGGACCGGGAGAGGUGAGAGGUACUCCAGGGGUAGGAGUGAAAUCCUGUAAUCCUUGGGGGACCACCUGUGGCGAAGGCGUCUCACCAGAACGGCUCCGACAGUGAGGGACGAAAGCUGGGGGAGCAAACCGGAUUAGAUACCCGGGUAGUCCCAGCCGUAAACGAUGCGCGUUAGGUGUAUCGGUGACCACGAGUCACCGAGGUGCCGAAGAGAAAUCGUGAAACGUGCCGCCUGGGAAGUACGGUCGCAAGGCUGAAACUUAAAGGAAUUGGCGGGGGAGCACCACAACAGGUGGAGCCUGCGGUUUAAUCGGACUCAACGCCGGAAAUCUCACCGGAUAAGACAGCUGGAUGAUAGUCGGGCUGAAGACUCUACUUGACUAGCUGAGAGGAGGUGCAUGGCCGUCGUCAGUUCGUACUGUGAAGCA
Molecule: ribosomal RNA, 531 nt
Filed under: uncultured Methanomicrobiaceae archaeon
Lineage: Archaea; Methanobacteriati; Methanobacteriota; Methanomicrobia; Methanomicrobiales; Methanomicrobiaceae
Description: bacterial SSU rRNA
Rfam family: Archaeal small subunit ribosomal RNA
Source: RNAcentral